RNAcentral lists this ribosomal RNA (492 nucleotides) under uncultured bacterium. RNAcentral describes it as "partial 16S ribosomal RNA". It matches the Rfam family "Bacterial small subunit ribosomal RNA", at positions 29 to 507 of the family's 1533-position model. The record is from RNAcentral.
AGUGAACGCUGGCGGUAGGCCUAACACAUGCAAGUCGAACGGCAGCACAGUAAGAGCUUGCUCUUACGGGUGGCGAGUGGCGGACGGGUGAGGAAUACAUCGGAAUCUACUUUUUCGUGGGGGAUAACGUAGGGAAACUUACGCUAAUACCGCAUACGACCUACGGGUGAAAGCAGGGGAUCUUCGGACCUUGCGCGAUUGAAUGAGCCGAUGUCGGAUUAGCUAGUUGGCGGGGUAAAGGCCCACCAAGGCGACGAUCCGUAGCUGGUCUGAGAGGAUGAUCAGCCACACUGGAACUGAGACACGGUCCAGACUCCUACGGGAGGCAGCAGUGGGGAAUAUUGGACAAUGGGCGCAAGCCUGAUCCAGCCAUACCGCGGGGGUGAAGAAGGCCUUCGGGUUGUAAAGCCCUUUUGUUGGGAAAGAAAAGCAGCGGGUUAAUACCCCGCUGUUCUGACGGUACCCAAAGAAUAAGCACCGGCUAACUUCGUG